ACUCCUACGGGAGGCAGCAGUGGGGAAUAUUGCACAAUGGGCGCAAGCCUGAUGCAGCCAUGCCGCGUGUAUGAAGAAGGCCUUCGGGUUGUAAAGUACUUUCAGCAGUGAGGAGGUGGAUAGUCGUUAAGUACGCGGCCUUCAUUUGACGUUUAGCUGCAGAAGAAGCACCGGCUAACUCCGUGCCAGCAGCCGCGGUAAUACGGAGGGUGCGAGCGUUAAUCGGAAUUACUGGGCGUAAAGCGCAUGCAGGUGGUUUGUUAAGUCAGAUGUGAAAGCCCGGGGCUCAACCUCGGAAUUGCAUUUGAAACUGGCAGACUAGAGUACUGUAGAGGGGGGUAGAAUUUCAGGUGUAGCGGUGAAAUGCGUAGAGAUCUGAAGGAAUACCGGUGGCGAAGGCGGCCCCCUGGACAGAUACUGACACUCAGAUGCGAAAGCGUGGGGAGCAAACAGGAUUAGAUACCCUGGUAGGCUACCCU
This 479-nucleotide ribosomal RNA is filed under the name uncultured bacterium. Its description in RNAcentral is "bacterial SSU rRNA". It matches the Rfam family "Bacterial small subunit ribosomal RNA", at positions 335 to 801 of the family's 1533-position model. The record is from RNAcentral.